AAUGCACUGCACGUGUACAAAACACCGUGAUAACUAAAUUAGUUGUGCAUUACAUUAACGCACUCUCACUUUAUUGAUUAAUACUCACACUGAAAUGUGUGUUAUUGUGUAAUAUACAUAGCAGUAAUUCCUCAAUGAUGACAUCAACGACGACAGAAAGCAGACAUGAUUGUCUGCAACAAAUACGACGACAGAUUCUACUUCCUACUGACCACCAAUGUGAGGAGGCAUGGCGGCCACGUAGUCCAGACCGCACGUCUUCAGCACCGUGUACAUCCUGUCGUGGUCCUCCGUCACUGGAACCAGGCGGGGAGGGACUUUGGCACGAUCCCACAGCAGGAAGGCUGGAUGUGAGGAAGAUGAAGGGCAACCGAGUGGAGCCCUACUCAGGUUGUUGCGUGUCCCCAGGAUGAUGAUGGCAGCAUCCUGGCCCUCCAUGGUCUUCUUCACAUCCUCUUUAUUCAGCACAUCCCCCACCACCACUCUGCACGCCUUGUGGUCAGCGGGCAGCCUGG
Molecule: long non-coding RNA, 515 nt
Organism: Solea solea (common sole)
Lineage: Eukaryota; Metazoa; Chordata; Actinopteri; Pleuronectiformes; Soleidae
Exons: 3
Source: RefSeq, a predicted model, not a curated record